Non-coding RNA from Manis javanica (Malayan pangolin), 804 nucleotides. NCBI's taxonomy places the organism in Eukaryota, Metazoa, Chordata, Mammalia, Pholidota, Manidae. The record is from RefSeq and is a predicted model, not a curated record.
GGCUGUCUUACUGCGUUGCAGAGCCACGACUACUUCGGGUUGAUGAAGUGCCAAGCAGGCUUUGGAAGUACUGGAGCAUGGGUGGGAAACGCUGCCAACUCUGGAUCCCCCUCCCAGUGAAACGUCCAGCAAGCAGCCUUUCCAGGGCUGGCAAGAAAACGGUGCAAUGUGCGAGGUUGAAAACAAAUACAACUAUUCCUAAAAGAGUGACCAGAAGUAAGAGUACACCAGCCAGGUUACAUCUACAUCUGCGAGAACUCAGCAUCUCACGAAAAGGAUAAGAUACUCACGCCUCCAUGUUUCCUGCUAAUAGCAUUUCAACAAUAAGUGAGUGAGGGAUGAUAGAAUUGAAAUAUCUUCAUUUUGCAACCCCUGAUGAAUUGAGCCUGAGUGGAUGCUAGCAACACAAAAAGAGAGGCACCCAACACUGUGUGUGUGUGCUUCUUGAUGAAAGAGACACCACCGUAUACAAAGGAGUCUUCUUCCCCCAAAGGAUCAAACGUGGCUCUGUUAAAGCCUCUAGAUUCAACUAUCAACUUUCAUGGAACACAAAAUGAGUAUUUACAGAAAGACUCAGAAACAGUUUACCAUGCCUGGACAUCCCGCCCUUUAUCAUGGAUAUAUGUGCUCCUGACUGUGACUCUAUACUGCAUACAUGGAAUUAGAGAAAACGAAGUAAGAUACGAUAUGAAGAAGAACUUCCAACAAACAUCCUCUGGUAGAGUCAUUACAGAAGAUGAUCAUGAAAAAACUUCAACAAAGAUCCUGGCGCUGUUGCAGUUGCAGCUGCAUUCAUCCCACCGG